This 77-nucleotide transfer RNA is filed under the name Corynebacterium pseudotuberculosis. RNAcentral's name for it is "tRNA-Met". The record is from RNAcentral. Lineage: Bacteria; Bacillati; Actinomycetota; Actinomycetes; Mycobacteriales; Corynebacteriaceae.
CUCCUCGUUGCACAGGACAUCUUGUUCUAAGGCAAUCGUCGCGGGGUGGAGCAGCUCGGUAGCUCGCUGGGCUCAUA